Molecule: ribosomal RNA, 2787 nt
Filed under: Escherichia coli
Lineage: Bacteria; Pseudomonadati; Pseudomonadota; Gammaproteobacteria; Enterobacterales; Enterobacteriaceae
Description: bacterial LSU rRNA
Rfam family: Bacterial large subunit ribosomal RNA
Source: RNAcentral
AGCGUACACGGUGGAUGCCCUGGCAGUCAGAGGCGAUGAAGGACGUGCUAAUCUGCGAUAAGCGUCGGUAAGGUGAUAUGAACCGUUAUAACCGGCGAUUUCCGAAUGGGGAAACCCAGUGUGUUUCGACACACUAUCAUUAACUGAAUCCAUAGGUUAAUGAGGCGAACCGGGGGAACUGAAACAUCUAAGUACCCCGAGGAAAAGAAAUCAACCGAGAUUCCCCCAGUAGCGGCGAGCGAACGGGGAGCAGCCCAGAGCCUGAAUCAGUGUGUGUGUUAGUGGAAGCGUCUGGAAAGGCGCGCGAUACAGGGUGACAGCCCCGUACACAAAAAUGCACAUGCUGUGAGCUCGAUGAGUAGGGCGGGACACGUGGUAUCCUGUCUGAAUAUGGGGGGACCAUCCUCCAAGGCUAAAUACUCCUGACUGACCGAUAGUGAACCAGUACCGUGAGGGAAAGGCGAAAAGAACCCCGGCGAGGGGAGUGAAAAAGAACCUGAAACCGUGUACGUACAAGCAGUGGGAGCACGCUUAGGCGUGUGACUGCGUACCUUUUGUAUAAUGGGUCAGCGACUUAUAUUCUGUAGCAAGGUUAACCGAAUAGGGGAGCCGAAGGGAAACCGAGUCUUAACUGGGCGUUAAGUUGCAGGGUAUAGACCCGAAACCCGGUGAUCUAGCCAUGGGCAGGUUGAAGGUUGGGUAACACUAACUGGAGGACCGAACCGACUAAUGUUGAAAAAUUAGCGGAUGACUUGUGGCUGGGGGUGAAAGGCCAAUCAAACCGGGAGAUAGCUGGUUCUCCCCGAAAGCUAUUUAGGUAGCGCCUCGUGAAUUCAUCUCCGGGGGUAGAGCACUGUUUCGGCAAGGGGGUCAUCCCGACUUACCAACCCGAUGCAAACUGCGAAUACCGGAGAAUGUUAUCACGGGAGACACACGGCGGGUGCUAACGUCCGUCGUGAAGAGGGAAACAACCCAGACCGCCAGCUAAGGUCCCAAAGUCAUGGUUAAGUGGGAAACGAUGUGGGAAGGCCCAGACAGCCAGGAUGUUGGCUUAGAAGCAGCCAUCAUUUAAAGAAAGCGUAAUAGCUCACUGGUCGAGUCGGCCUGCGCGGAAGAUGUAACGGGGCUAAACCAUGCACCGAAGCUGCGGCAGCGACGCUGAUGCGUUGUUGGGUAGGGGAGCGUUCUGUAAGCCUGCGAAGGUGUGCUGUGAGGCAUGCUGGAGGUAUCAGAAGUGCGAAUGCUGACAUAAGUAACGAUAAAGCGGGUGAAAAGCCCGCUCGCCGGAAGACCAAGGGUUCCUGUCCAACGUUAAUCGGGGCAGGGUGAGUCGACCCCUAAGGCGAGGCCGAAAGGCGUAGUCGAUGGGAAACAGGUUAAUAUUCCUGUACUUGGUGUUACUGCGAAGGGGGGACGGAGAAGGCUAUGUUGGCCGGGCGACGGUUGUCCCGGUUUAAGCGUGUAGGCUGGUUUUCCAGGCAAAUCCGGAAAAUCAAGGCUGAGGCGUGAUGACGAGGCACUACGGUGCUGAAGCAACAAAUGCCCUGCUUCCAGGAAAAGCCUCUAAGCAUCAGGUAACAUCAAAUCGUACCCCAAACCGACACAGGUGGUCAGGUAGAGAAUACCAAGGCGCUUGAGAGAACUCGGGUGAAGGAACUAGGCAAAAUGGUGCCGUAACUUCGGGAGAAGGCACGCUGAUAUGUAGGUGAAGCGACUUGCUCGUGGAGCUGAAAUCAGUCGAAGAUACCAGCUGGCUGCAACUGUUUAUUAAAAACACAGCACUGUGCAAACACGAAAGUGGACGUAUACGGUGUGACGCCUGCCCGGUGCCGGAAGGUUAAUUGAUGGGGUUAGCGCAAGCGAAGCUCUUGAUCGAAGCCCCGGUAAACGGCGGCCGUAACUAUAACGGUCCUAAGGUAGCGAAAUUCCUUGUCGGGUAAGUUCCGACCUGCACGAAUGGCGUAAUGAUGGCCAGGCUGUCUCCACCCGAGACUCAGUGAAAUUGAACUCGCUGUGAAGAUGCAGUGUACCCGCGGCAAGACGGAAAGACCCCGUGAACCUUUACUAUAGCUUGACACUGAACAUUGAGCCUUGAUGUGUAGGAUAGGUGGGAGGCUUUGAAGUGUGGACGCCAGUCUGCAUGGAGCCGACCUUGAAAUACCACCCUUUAAUGUUUGAUGUUCUAACGUGGACCCGUAAUCCGGGUUGCGGACAGUGUCUGGUGGGUAGUUUGACUGGGGCGGUCUCCUCCUAAAGAGUAACGGAGGAGCACGAAGGUUGGCUAAUCCUGGUCGGACAUCAGGAGGUUAGUGCAAUGGCAUAAGCCAGCUUGACUGCGAGCGUGACGGCGCGAGCAGGUGCGAAAGCAGGUCAUAGUGAUCCGGUGGUUCUGAAUGGAAGGGCCAUCGCUCAACGGAUAAAAGGUACUCCGGGGAUAACAGGCUGAUACCGCCCAAGAGUUCAUAUCGACGGCGGUGUUUGGCACCUCGAUGUCGGCUCAUCACAUCCUGGGGCUGAAGUAGGUCCCAAGGGUAUGGCUGUUCGCCAUUUAAAGUGGUACGCGAGCUGGGUUUAGAACGUCGUGAGACAGUUCGGUCCCUAUCUGCCGUGGGCGCUGGAGAAUUGAGGGGGGCUGCUCCUAGUACGAGAGGACCGGAGUGGACGCAUCACUGGUGUUCGGGUUGUCAUGCCAAUGGCACUGCCCGGUAGCUAAAUGCGGAAGAGAUAAGUGCUGAAAGCAUCUAAGCACGAAACUUGCCCCGAGAUGAGUUCUCCCUGACUCCUUGA